This is a long non-coding RNA of Cebus imitator (Panamanian white-faced capuchin), 247 nucleotides long. RefSeq lists it as uncharacterized. The record is from RefSeq and is a predicted model, not a curated record. The transcript is spliced from 2 exons. NCBI's taxonomy places the organism in Eukaryota, Metazoa, Chordata, Mammalia, Primates, Cebidae.
GUGAUCUUCCCACCUCCGCCUCUCGAGUAGCUGGGAUUACAGGCACAUCAGCGGUCUUUUCCUGCUUGGAGAAAGCCUGGCUGCAGCCGGAGGAAGGAAGGCCAACCCUUGGAAGUAGAGUCAACAGCAGCAAAUUCUAAGUCUCCUAAUGAGGUGGUUUGAGUCCCUGACUUUGGUGAUCUCUGAAGACAGCUGUACCCAUGGAUGUCACAGUUAUGUGAGCCAAUAAACCCAUAAUCGUCUUUAA